CAGUCGCCACGGUAAUACGAAGGGGGCUAGCGUUGCUCGGAAUCACUGGGCGUAAAGGGUGCGUAGGCGGGUCUUUAGGUCAGGGGUGAAAUCCUGGAGCUCAACUCCAGAACUGCCUUUGAUACUGAAGAUCUUGAGUUCGGGAGAGGUGAGUGGAACUGCGAGUGUAGAGGUGAAAUUCGUAGAUAUUCGCAAGAACACCAGUGGCGAAGGCGGCUCACUGGCCCGAUACUGACGCUGAGGCACGAAAGCGUGGGGAGCAAACAGGAUUAGAUACCCGGGUAGUCCCUGUCUCUUAUAC
Molecule: ribosomal RNA, 301 nt
Filed under: uncultured bacterium
Lineage: Bacteria
Description: partial 16S ribosomal RNA
Rfam family: Bacterial small subunit ribosomal RNA
Source: RNAcentral